This 265-nucleotide ribosomal RNA is filed under the name uncultured prokaryote. RNAcentral describes it as "partial 16S ribosomal RNA". It matches the Rfam family "Bacterial small subunit ribosomal RNA", at positions 524 to 788 of the family's 1533-position model. The record is from RNAcentral.
UACGGAGGAUCCGAGCGUUAUCCGGAUUUAUUGGGUUUAAAGGGUGCGCAGGCGGGAGAUUAAGUCGGCGGUGAAAUUUUGCAGCUCAACUGUAAAAGUGCCUUCGAAACUGGUUUCCUCGAGUGUAGAUGAAGUAGGCGGAAUUUGUGGUGUAGCGGUGAAAUGCAUAGAUAUCACGAGGAACUCCGAUUGCGCAGGCAGCUUACUAAGCUACUACUGACGCUCAGGCACGAAGGCGUUGGGAUCAAACAGGAUUAGAUACCCG